Pocillopora damicornis (cauliflower coral) is the source of this 381-nucleotide long non-coding RNA. NCBI's taxonomy places the organism in Eukaryota, Metazoa, Cnidaria, Anthozoa, Scleractinia, Pocilloporidae. The record is from RefSeq and is a predicted model, not a curated record.
CACCGGAUGUAUUAUUACUGGCUCUCUGCAGGGUAAAAAAAAAAGGUUAAGGAGUUGAUUUCUUUGUUUUAUAGAUUGAGCAGAUUAUUUCAUCAUCAUUCUUGACUUGCAUCUCUGAGAGAGAACAUCUGUCUGAAGUCUGGACGCCUUAAAGUAGGAAGAAUGGACAUGCGCGUGACACUUGUGCUGGUGGUCUUUGUUGCCAUUACAAUGGGAAAACGUUUGAGGAGCCGUUUUGAUUUCAAAGAGGAUGAUGAGCUACCACAGGAUGACAAUAUCGAGACCAUGAAUGACCCUGGUUGUUUACGUUGUCCAACUAUUCUUGGACCUUCAAGUCACACUUGCUGCCCGCCAAAGAGAUGGUAAUUAUCCUAUAAGAAA